GAAAUUUAUAAUAAUAAAAUAUUAUUAUUCACGAAGCCAGGCGAGCUAAAUCCUAUUUUUUAUUAGUAGAUGAUUGUUAGUGUAUCAAUACUAAUAUAACACAAGAAUUUAGGGGUGAAAGGCCUUUCAAGUCUGUCAAUAUCUUGAUUAUAAGUAAAGAUAUUUAGUAUAGAAUUAACCUAAAAAUGAUAAGGUUUUUAGGAUUCAUAAUUUUAAAAUUCUGAUUAACUGAAUGUGUAAAAAUUCCUGUUUAAAUUAAGUAGAACAUAGAUUGUUAAAGAUAUAUGUAUAUUAUUUAUAUUUUUAAAUUGACAUAGAUUUUAAACUAAAAAUGAUUUCAUUAGUAUUUUACUUAUUUUUUUUUAAGGAACUCGGCAAAAAUUUUUCUCGACUGUUUAACAAAAACAUUGCUUUAAGUUAUUAUUUCAAGUUUGCCCUGCUCAAUGAUAUUAAUUAAAUAGCCGCAGUACCCUGACUGUGCAAAGGUAGCAUAAUCAAUUGGCUUAUAAUUGAAGUCUAGUAUGAAUGGGAAUCCGGGAAUAAGCUAUCUAAAAAAAACUCUUAGAACUUACUUAAUAAGUGAAAAUUCUUAUAUUUAGAAAAAAGACGAGAAGACCCUAGAAAUUUUUAGUAGAACUUUUGUAUAUUACAUAAAAUAUUUUGUUGGGGCGACAUGGUAACAUUUAUUAUAUAGAACUUACCAAAAAAUUUUAAGAAAUUAUUUAAUAGAAUAUAUAAAUUACUCUAGGGAUAACAGCAUAAUUUAUUAUUAAGAUUUUGACCUCGAUGUUGGACUAGGAAAUUAUUUACUUAAAAGGUAAAUAAGAAAGCUCUGUUCGAGCUAUAUCUCACCUACAUGAUCUGAGUUCAGACCGG
This 876-nucleotide ribosomal RNA is filed under the name Circassina frutis frutis. Its description in RNAcentral is "partial 16S ribosomal RNA". The record is from RNAcentral. Lineage: Eukaryota; Metazoa; Mollusca; Gastropoda; Stylommatophora; Hygromiidae.